This 460-nucleotide ribosomal RNA is filed under the name uncultured bacterium. RNAcentral's name for it is "partial 16S ribosomal RNA". It matches the Rfam family "Bacterial small subunit ribosomal RNA", at positions 338 to 795 of the family's 1533-position model. The record is from RNAcentral.
CCUACGGGUGGCAGCAGUGAGGAAUAUUGGUCAAUGGACGAGAGUCUGAACCAGCCAAGUAGCGUGAAGGAUGACUGCCCUAUGGGUUGUAAACUUCUUUUAUAUGGGAAUAAAACGUUCCACGUGUGGGAUUUUGUAUGUACCAUAUGAAUAAGGAUCGGCUAACUCCGUGCCAGCAGCCGCGGUAAUACGGAGGAUCCGAGCGUUAUCCGGAUUUAUUGGGUGUAAAGGGAGCGUAGGUGGAUUGUUAAGUCAGUUGUGAAAGUUUGCGGCUCAACCGUAAAAUUGCAGUUGACACUGGCAGUCUUGAGUACAGGAGAGGUGGGCGGAAUUCGUGGUGUAGCGGUGAAAUGCUUAGAUAUCACGAAGAACUCCGAUUGCGAAGGCAGUUCACUGGACUGCAACUGACACUGAGGCUCGAAAGUGUGGGUAUCAAACAGGAUUAGAUACCCUAGUAGUC